RNAcentral lists this unclassified non-coding RNA (385 nucleotides) under Hevea brasiliensis (rubber tree). Lineage: Eukaryota; Viridiplantae; Streptophyta; Magnoliopsida; Malpighiales; Euphorbiaceae. The record is from RNAcentral.
GUCCGAUAAUACGUUAUUAGAUAACUAGAGUCAAGUGAGGAAUGAGAGCUGUAAGGGAAACGAUUUUCGGGGUGUCAGCUAUCACCGGAGUAUACUUCUUCAUCUUUUGGGAUAUCUUGAAUAUUCCUAUCAAUGACUUUGAUUAGGAGUCUCGAGAGAGACUGAGCGCGAAACCUCCUCUGAGUAGUCUUUGCGAGGUAGGUCUUUCGUUUCCAAUAGAAGGCCGUCAUCCUUUUGUCGUCAGUUAGCCACACCUAACCAAGAUGUUGUUCACUACUUCGUAACCUCGCGGCUACUUCAAAAGCCUCUUAUUCCUAACACGGGUAUAAUAGACUAUAGUUCGUCUAUCUCCAACUUCCGGUACACUCUGUGGACAGUCUAUCGG